UCCCCUCCUAAUUUUUUGUUGUAUAUUGUUCCUGUAUAUAUGUACAUUUAGUCAGUGCUUACUGUAUCCCUGGACUCUGGUUCAGUUAUGGUUAAUUGUUGGCGUGAAGAUGAAGAAAUGUGUAAUUUUGAAUAGUGUUGAAAUUUCCCACAGUUUGGAAAGACCUUGAACUUUUAAGUUCCCCGUUUGUUAUGUACAUUGGUCAGUUGGUGGGCACCAUGUUAUUGUUUAGCCAAUCAGUGCCAAGUCAGGAUAAUUUUGGUAGCCUACCGGGUUCUUAGUAGGGCGGGAGUUAACGCAGAACAUGCUGCAGACGUAAGUGCGGAGAAAGGAGAGAAAACGGGAGGAAAAGGGAGAUGUGAAGCGCUGUUUCUAGCUGUGGCCUUGCUGCGUUGGGGGAGAAGAGACAAGUCUGUGAGGAGCACGGGGUUUUUUUUUGCUUCUGAGUGAGUAUGGUUUAUAAAACUAUAAAGACGAGUAAAUUUAUGGUUUAUUGACAGGAUGUUUAUUAGUGGUUUCUGAAUCUUAUUGAUAGUGUGCUUCGGACACUGCCGCACCUGCUGCUGCAGUAGAGGUGCUCAGGGCUUCCCGCUGCAAGAGAAACCUGCUUCCUGCGCACGCGCGGACCAGGCCGCAGGGCCGUUUCUUCUCAUCGCUCAGCUGAUGGACAACUGAGUUGACUUGACUGCUAUAUCUGCUUUGUCCAUGGGACUGUGAGUACAGACAGCUCUCCACCAGAGGUCUUACAUGAGCUCCAACUGCGCGCCAACGGCCAUGGUACCAUAAACUGAAUAACAAAAUCCCGGGUAUUAUUUAGACAUUGUUUAAUUCAUUUCUUUUAAUUUUAUUUUAUUUGGGGUUUUGAAAUAAAUAUUUUUGUGGGUCUGCAUACAGAA
Long non-coding RNA from Stegastes partitus (bicolor damselfish), 896 nucleotides. RefSeq lists it as uncharacterized. Lineage: Eukaryota; Metazoa; Chordata; Actinopteri; Pomacentridae. The transcript is spliced from 2 exons. The record is from RefSeq and is a predicted model, not a curated record.